RNAcentral lists this ribosomal RNA (253 nucleotides) under uncultured bacterium. RNAcentral describes it as "partial 16S ribosomal RNA". It matches the Rfam family "Bacterial small subunit ribosomal RNA", at positions 524 to 776 of the family's 1533-position model. The record is from RNAcentral.
UACGGAGGGGGCAAGCGUUGUCCGGAAUCACUGGGCGUAAAGGGCGCGUAGGCGGCCCGGUAAGUCGGGGGUGAAAUCCUGCGGCUUAACCGCAGGGCUGCCGUCUAAACCGUCGGGCUCGAGCACGGUAGAGGCAGAUGGAAUUCCCGGUGUAGCAGUGAAAUGCGUAGAGAUGCGGAGGAACACCGAUGGCGAAGGCAGCCCCCUGGGCUAACACUGACGCUGAGGCACGAAAGCGUGGGGAGCAAACAGG